GACGAACGCUGGCGGCGUGCUUAACACAUGCAAGUCGAACGGAAAGGCCCUGCUUUUGUGGGGUGCUCGAGUGGCGAACGGGUGAGUAACACGUGAGUAACCUGCCCUUGACUUUGGGAUAACUUCAGGAAACUGGGGCUAAUACCGGAUAGGAGCUCCUGCUGCAUGGUGGGGGUUGGAAAGUUUCGGCGGUUGGGGAUGGACUCGCGGCUUAUCAGCUUGUUGGUGGGGUAGUGGCUUACCAAGGCUUUGACGGGUAGCCGGCCUGAGAGGGUGACCGGCCACAUUGGGACUGAGAUACGGCCCAGACUCCUACGGGAGGCAGCAGUGGGGAAUAUUGCACAAUGGGCGGAAGCCUGAUGCGGCAACGCCGCGUGCGGGAUGACGGCCUUCGGGUUGUAAACCGCUUUCGCCUGUGACGAAGCGUGAGUGACGGUAAUGGGUAAAGAAGCACCAGCUAACUACGUG
This 468-nucleotide ribosomal RNA is filed under the name uncultured bacterium. RNAcentral describes it as "partial 16S ribosomal RNA". It matches the Rfam family "Bacterial small subunit ribosomal RNA", at positions 28 to 507 of the family's 1533-position model. The record is from RNAcentral.